Molecule: transfer RNA, 72 nt
Filed under: bacterium
Lineage: Bacteria
Also listed under: 3 other names
Description: tRNA-Pro
Rfam family: tRNA
About the family: Transfer RNA (tRNA) molecules are approximately 80 nucleotides in length.
Source: RNAcentral
CGGGGCAUAGCGCAGUGGUAGCGCGCUGCCUUGGGGUGGCAGAGGUCCCGGGUUCAAGUCCCGGUGCCCCGA